RNAcentral lists this ribosomal RNA (49 nucleotides) under Ophiopogon latifolius. RNAcentral's name for it is "partial 26S ribosomal RNA". The record is from RNAcentral. Lineage: Eukaryota; Viridiplantae; Streptophyta; Magnoliopsida; Asparagales; Asparagaceae.
CCUCGGAACACGACCCCAGGUCAGGCGGGGCCACCCGCUGAGCUUAAGC